UAAGAGAAGAAUAUUUACGAAAUAACAGAAUGUUACAAUAGUAUUUGUUGAUUCGUUUUCGAAUUUUAUUUCAAUUUUCCAUUUUCAAAUUUCGUUUUUUAGAUUAUUUUGUAUUAGUAAAAAAAAUGAAACAAAGUAUUCGAUCGUUGUGACAUUUUUCGAUAGCCUAUCGUUAGAUAAACUCGUUGUCCCCCCAUAUAAAACUGCGUUGACAUUAGAUUUUUUUUAUAUUUUAAAAUACUAAUUCUUCAUAGUUUUAUCUACUAUAAACAUAUGAACGUUGCUCGAAAUAAAAGUACGCUCAACACACGAAUGAUGAAUACCACAUGGACUUUAAGAUUCAUCAUUUGUCUCCUUUGUUGUCGAGCAUCUUUGGCAGAAUUGAAACUUGUACAGACGAUAUUUAGACAUGGAAACAAAAUGCCAUCGAAUAUCAAUUUUUAUCCUAACGAUCCUUACAUUAAUUAUACUUACGAGCCGGCGGGACGAGGAGGUUUAACAAAUGUACGU
Long non-coding RNA from Apis dorsata (giant honeybee), 510 nucleotides. RefSeq lists it as uncharacterized. The transcript has 2 exons. Lineage: Eukaryota; Metazoa; Arthropoda; Insecta; Hymenoptera; Apidae. The record is from RefSeq and is a predicted model, not a curated record.